UACGUAGGGUCCGAGCGUUGUCCGGAAUUAUUGGGCGUAAAGAGCUCGUAGGCGGUCUGUCGCGUCGGCUGUGAAAACUCGGGGCUCAACCCCGAGCCUGCAGUCGAUACGGGCAGACUAGAGUGCUGUAGGGGAGACUGGAAUUCCUGGUGUAGCGGUGAAAUGCGCAGAUAUCAGGAGGAACACCGGUGGCGAAGGCGGGUCUCUGGGCAGUAACUGACGCUGAGGAGCGAAAGCGUGGGGAGCGAACAGG
Molecule: ribosomal RNA, 253 nt
Filed under: uncultured bacterium
Lineage: Bacteria
Description: partial 16S ribosomal RNA
Rfam family: Bacterial small subunit ribosomal RNA
Source: RNAcentral